AUUGAACGCUGGCGGCAUGCUUUACACAUGCAAGUCGAACGGCAGCACGGGCUUCGGCCUGGUGGCGAGUGGCGAACGGGUGAGUAAUAUAUCGGAACGUACCCAGAAGUGGGGGAUAACGUAGCGAAAGUUACGCUAAUACCGCAUACGAUCUAUGGAUGAAAGCAGGGGACCGCAAGGCCUUGUGCUCCUGGAGCGGCCGAUAUCUGAUUAGCUAGUUGGUGAGGUAAAGGCUCACCAAGGCGACGAUCAGUAGCUGGUCUGAGAGGACGACCAGCCACCCUGGAAGGGAGCCACGCCCAGCACCCCUGGGGGGGGAAGGGGGGGGGAAUUGUGGAAAAGGGGCGCAGGCCGGAUCCAGCAAUCCCGGGUGGGGAAAGAGGGCUUGGGGUUUGUAAAGCUUUUUUGUCAGGAAAGAAACGGUAGAGGCUAAUAUCUUUUGCUAAUGACGGUACCGAAAAAAAAAGCCCCGGCUAACUAGGUG
Molecule: ribosomal RNA, 484 nt
Filed under: uncultured bacterium
Lineage: Bacteria
Description: partial 16S ribosomal RNA
Rfam family: Bacterial small subunit ribosomal RNA
Source: RNAcentral